CCACUGCUCGCUUGGUAAAGCACAAGGCUCUUAACCUUGUGGAUGUGGGUUCAAGCCCCAUGAUGGGGG
This 69-nucleotide transfer RNA is filed under the name Triticum urartu. It matches the Rfam family "tRNA". Rfam says of the family: Transfer RNA (tRNA) molecules are approximately 80 nucleotides in length. Their secondary structure includes four short double-helical elements and three loops (D, anti-codon, and T loops). The record is from Rfam by way of RNAcentral. Lineage: Eukaryota; Viridiplantae; Streptophyta; Magnoliopsida; Poales; Poaceae.